UGGGGAAUCUUGCACAAUGGGGGCAACCCUGAUGCAGCGACGCCGCGUGAGCGAUGAAGCCCUUCGGGGCGUAAAGCUCUUUCGACCGGAACGAUAAUGACGGUACCGGGAGAAGAAGCUGCGGCUAACUACGUGCCAGCAGCCGCGGUAAUACGUAGGCAGCAAGCGUUGUUCGGAGUUACUGGGCGUAAAGAGUGCGUAGGCAGUUUUCUAAGUUCGGUGUGAAAUCUCCCGGCUUAACUGGGAGGGUGCGCCGAAGACUGGGAAGCUGGAGUGUGGGAAAGGCAGGCAGAAAUCCUGGUGUCGCGGCGAAAUGCGUAGAUAUCAGGAGGAACACCGGCGGUGUAGACGGCUUGCUAGACCAUAACUGACGCUGAGGCACGAAAGCGUGGGUAGCAAACA
RNAcentral lists this ribosomal RNA (402 nucleotides) under uncultured bacterium. RNAcentral describes it as "bacterial SSU rRNA". It matches the Rfam family "Bacterial small subunit ribosomal RNA", at positions 355 to 774 of the family's 1533-position model. The record is from RNAcentral.